RNAcentral lists this ribosomal RNA (253 nucleotides) under uncultured bacterium. RNAcentral's name for it is "partial 16S ribosomal RNA". It matches the Rfam family "Bacterial small subunit ribosomal RNA", at positions 524 to 776 of the family's 1533-position model. The record is from RNAcentral.
UACGUAGGGAGCAAGCGUUGUCCGGAAUCAUUGGGCGUAAAGCGCGCGUAGGUGGCCCGGUAAGUCCGCUCUGAAAGUCACAGGCUCAACCUGUGAAAGCGGGUGGAUACUGCCGGGCUAGAGUCCGGAAGAGGCGAGUGGAAUUCCUGGUGUAGCGGUGAAAUGCGCAGAUAUCAGGAGGAACACCAAUGGCGAAGGCAGCUCGCUGGGACGUGACUGACGCUGAGACGCGAAAGCGUGGGGAGCAAACAGG